AGACGUCUACAUUAGAUACCCGGGUAGUCCCAGCCGUAAACUAUGCGCGUUAGGUGUAUCGGCGACCACGAGUUACCGAGGUGCCGUAGGGAAGCCGUGAAGCGAGCCACCUGGGAAGUACGGCCGCAAGGCUGAAACUUAAAGGAAUUGGCGGGGGAGCACCACAACGGGUGGAGCUUGCGGUUUAAUUGGACUCAACGCCGGGAAGCUCACCGGAUAAGACAGCGGAAUGAUUGCCGGGCUGAAGACCCUGCAUGACCAGCUG
Molecule: ribosomal RNA, 265 nt
Filed under: uncultured archaeon
Lineage: Archaea
Description: partial 16S ribosomal RNA
Rfam family: Archaeal small subunit ribosomal RNA
Source: RNAcentral